CAGUCGCCGCGGGAAUACGGAGGGUGCAAGCGUUACUCGGAAUCACUGGGCGUAAAGGACGCGUAGGCGGAUUAUCAAGUCUCUUGUGAAAUCUAACGGCUUAACCGUUAAACUGCUUGGGAAACUGAUAAUCUAGAGUAAGGGAGAGGCAGAUGGAAUUCUUGGUGUAGGGGUAAAAUCCGUAGAUAUCAAGAAGAAUACCUAUUGCGAAGGCGAUCUGCUGGAACUUAACUGACGCUGAGGAGCGAAAGCGUGGGGAGCGAACAGGAUUAGAUACCCCUGUAGUCCCUGUCUCUUAUAC
RNAcentral lists this ribosomal RNA (301 nucleotides) under uncultured bacterium. RNAcentral describes it as "partial 16S ribosomal RNA". It matches the Rfam family "Bacterial small subunit ribosomal RNA", at positions 509 to 807 of the family's 1533-position model. The record is from RNAcentral.